UAAAAUUUUACUGAUAGUCGGUUUAGUAUAUCAUAAUUUUUGGUUGUAUACAUUGGAGUGAUUUACGAGUGAUUGCAAAGAUUCUUAUCUAAAGGAUUGCUAUAGGUGCAUAUUUAUUGAAAUUUAAAUUUGGAGCUUGGACACUUGCCAAACGCUUGCAGACAGAAUCUGGAGAACAAGGGAAAUAAAUAUUUUUCCAAAAUCAAAUAUAUGGGAACGUAUGUACAAUGUAUCUACAUAAGCAGCACCCUCAGCAGGCACAACGCAUUCAGAAUCACACACGGAAUCUUCUUACGAGAAAAGAAAA
Photinus pyralis (common eastern firefly) is the source of this 307-nucleotide long non-coding RNA. RefSeq lists it as uncharacterized. The record is from RefSeq and is a predicted model, not a curated record. NCBI's taxonomy places the organism in Eukaryota, Metazoa, Arthropoda, Insecta, Coleoptera, Lampyridae. The transcript is spliced from 3 exons.